GACGAACGCUGGCGGCGUGCUUAACACAUGCAAGUCGAACGGAAAGGCCCCCAUCUUGGUGGGGGUGCUCGAGUGGCGAACGGGUGAGUAACACGUGGGUGAUCUGCCCUGUACUUCGGGAUAAGCUUGGGAAACUGGGUCUAAUACCGGAUAGGACCAUGGUUUAGUGUCUCAUGGUGGAAAGAUUAUUGUUUUGGUGCAGGAUGAGCUCGCGGCCUAUCAGCUUGUUGGUGGGGUAAUGGCCUACCAAGGCGUCGACGGGUAGCCGGCCUGAGAGGGUGGACGGCCACAGUGGGACUGAGAUACGGCCCAGACUCCUACGGGAGGCAGCAGUGGGGAAUAUUGCGCAAUGGGCGCAAGCCUGAUGCAGCGACGCCGCGUGGGGGAUGACGGCCUUCGGGCUGUAAACUCCUUUCGUUAGGGACGAAGCCGCACUUUUUUUGGGUGUGGUGACGGUACCUUUGUUAAGAAGCACCGGCUAACUACGUG
This 489-nucleotide ribosomal RNA is filed under the name uncultured bacterium. Its description in RNAcentral is "partial 16S ribosomal RNA". It matches the Rfam family "Bacterial small subunit ribosomal RNA", at positions 28 to 507 of the family's 1533-position model. The record is from RNAcentral.